This is a non-coding RNA of Coturnix japonica (Japanese quail), 349 nucleotides long. Lineage: Eukaryota; Metazoa; Chordata; Aves; Galliformes; Phasianidae. The record is from RefSeq and is a predicted model, not a curated record.
ACCAACCAAUCCCGUUCCCCCUCUUAGAGCCCCGCCCCCUUUGCUUGAACUCCCAGAGGAGGCGGAGCUUCCCCCGGUGGGCGUGGCCUCGUUGGAGCGGGCGAUACUGGAGGGGGCGGGGCGACCGGAAGGGGCGGAGCUUAAUGAGAUCCUGCCAAGCUCCGCCCACCGGAAGUUGUGGGCCAGGCUCUUCCGGGUUUGCUUAGAUCUCUGUGCUUCUGGUUGGCUGCGGCUGGAGCAGUCCCGCCCCUUUGGACCAAUCAGGAUCCAGCUUGGUUCCCGAGGCCCCGCCCACUUCUCCCCAAGCCCCGCCCACGCUUAAUAAAGGCAAAGGGGGCGUGGUUUAGAA